GUAUGGUUUACUAGAUAGAGUCUAAAUUCUAGCCCCAACUUUAUCUUUAAUUAAUAUUUAUGCUAUUUUGGACAAGGCCCUUCAGCCCUCUGAGCUUCAGGCUCUUGUUCAUAGCAUGAUGUCUUUCCUACCCACUCCACUAUAUUGUUGUGAAGAUAAUAGAAAAUAUUAGAAAAUACUUUGAAAAAGCAGUUUUACAUUCCUAAAAAGGCAGGGCAUAAUAAUACAUUUUUAAAAAGAAAAAUAAUUAAGAUACCCACUAAUAUAGUCAGAUGCAAACAACAAAAAUGGAUAAAUAUUUACAUCAUAAGAUGUAAUCAUGAGAACACAUAUGCAAAGCCAACUCACACCUUCACCAUGACCAAAUCCCCUGAAGUCCAUUCAUGUUGUCCCCUGGGCUUUUCCUCACCAAGUGAUACAUCUUACACAUUGUGACUUGGGCACUGCUCUGCUGCUUUUUCCCUCUUCAGAGCACUUGUUCAACUGAGCUCACUCAGCUGGUUCUCUAUGGGGCACACUGUUCUGUAAACAGGUUACAGACUCCAUCACCUUUGGAUUCUGACUAAGCUGAAAAUUCUCUGCUGGGGCAUUUAGUAGGCUAUUUCAAAAAUAACUAGAAUGUUUAAUCUAGCACCAGCAGAAAGCUUCCCUAGCUCUGCUCCUUAGGAUCUCAGCUAUAGAACUGCUAUCUCCGGAGGGAAAGCAUUUUAGCUUCAGUCACCAAAUUCUCUCUCUCUGAACCCUUCCCAAAAGGAUGGAUGAAGUUCAGGUGCCCAUCUCCUCUCAAGCUACUCUCAAGUAUAUUUUUCCUCAAAGUGGUUCUUCAGUAUUCAAUCGAUGCUAAUGGAGGGAAGGUAAGGGAGGGAAAACCCUUUUCUUUCUUUUUUUUUUUUUUCAGUGAAUUCUGCAAGAAGUACAAGCAAAUCUUCAAGAGCUGAACUUGUCUUCAUACCUGGCUCUCUUCUCAUGAUUCAAUCAGGGGAAGAUGCUGAGGGAAGUUUGGAAGCUAGCAGAAGAAGCUAUAGUCACUGAUUUCUGUUAGUGUGGAGAUGCGCAAAGCAAACUCACCAUCAUCUCCAUAGUGGAAUCCUACAGAUCAUAGGCAGCUAUGUGAUAGAGUGAAAAGAGUGCUAGACCUGGAGUCAGGAAGAACUGAUUUCAAAUAUGGUCUCAGAUAUUAACUAGCUGUGUGAACAAGGGCAAGUCACUUAACCCUGCUUGCCUCAGUUUCCUCAUCUGCAAAAUGAGCUGGAGAAGGAAACGGCAAACCACUUCAGUAUCUUUGCUUAAAAAAACCCAAAAGGGAUUACAAAGAUCAGACAUGACAGAAAAACAACUGAACUGAAGAAUACAGGACAUGUGUCUUAGACAUCAAUAAACAACAGAGGAACCUG
Long non-coding RNA from Antechinus flavipes (yellow-footed antechinus), 1394 nucleotides. RefSeq lists it as uncharacterized. The transcript has 2 exons. Lineage: Eukaryota; Metazoa; Chordata; Mammalia; Dasyuromorphia; Dasyuridae. The record is from RefSeq and is a predicted model, not a curated record.